This 77-nucleotide transfer RNA is filed under the name Escherichia coli. RNAcentral's name for it is "tRNA-Met". It matches the Rfam family "tRNA". From Rfam's summary of the family: Transfer RNA (tRNA) molecules are approximately 80 nucleotides in length. Lineage: Bacteria; Pseudomonadati; Pseudomonadota; Gammaproteobacteria; Enterobacterales; Enterobacteriaceae. The record is from RNAcentral. RNAcentral also lists the same sequence under 2 other names.
GGCUACGUAGCUCAGUUGGUUAGAGCACAUCACUCAUAAUGAUGGGGUUACAGGUUCGAAUCCCGUCGUAGCCACCA